AAGUCGUAACAAGGUAUCCGUAGGUGAACCUGCGGAUGGAUCAUUAAUAAUAUCCAACCGAGUGAUUCUCUUUAUUGAGAAGAACUCAUCUUACCUGUGAACUGGAAAUGAUGCUUGCAUUGUUUCGCAACUUGUACUAUUUUUAUUAUUUUAAUUUUAAUUUCAAUUUGGAAAUUUAUUUCUAAAGCGAAAGAAAAAUCAAUGACAACUUUCAGCAAUGGAUCUCUUGGCUCUU
This 235-nucleotide unclassified non-coding RNA is filed under the name fungal sp. RNAcentral's name for it is "partial internal transcribed spacer region". The stretch from base 1 to 46 matches the Rfam family "Eukaryotic small subunit ribosomal RNA", at positions 1786 to 1831 of the family's 1831-position model. The record is from RNAcentral. Lineage: Eukaryota; Fungi.